Mustela erminea (ermine) is the source of this 637-nucleotide long non-coding RNA. RefSeq lists it as uncharacterized. The transcript has 2 exons. The record is from RefSeq and is a predicted model, not a curated record. NCBI's taxonomy places the organism in Eukaryota, Metazoa, Chordata, Mammalia, Carnivora, Mustelidae.
ACCCUGUAGGCGGCACAAUGUAGACCACAGGCAUAUGUGAGUUUGGCUUCUUCUCUUAGUGGCAAAUAGAUAAAGAGGUUAUUCUUUGGCGUCGGGGAUGGGGCUUAUAAGGUGGUUCUAUGACCACUUAACCAACGUGGAAAGGAACACAAAGUACUUUUGAUUAGAAAGACUGAAAAUUACAAAUUGGCUGAAUGGCAGGUGGUUGAUAGAGACACGGGCCUCAUUACACAAUUCUUUCUGUUUUUACAUUUGACAUUUUCCAUAACAAAAUAUUAAGGAAAAAGGGGUCCCUAGGCUUCGAUUUGUCUUGGCCUGUUUUCUACUUCCAGAACUGGCCAGACUGCCUCUGCUGUCACGGCUCUUGACCACCUGCAAGAAAUUCCAGAGACCACCGUUGUCGGUCACCACAGCAAAGAUUCUGGAGCCCUGUGCGGGCAAAGAAGAGGCAAGGCCCUCCUGAUGAAACGUGGCCUUUUAUGAGAAUACUCCUCUCUGAUAUCUGGAAAUGCGCUAGAGAAGCAGGGGGUUUUCUCAUUUCUUAUUUUCCCAGCCACCCAAAACCAAAAUAGGUUCAGAGGGGAUUUGCAGCUUCAAGUCAGAAAACUCUGCCUUGAAUUUCAGUGUUACCAAAAAA